AAUCAACGCUGGCGGCGUGCCUCAGACAUGCAAGUCGAACGAUUAAAGCUCUCUUCGGAGAGUGUAUAGAGUGGCGCACGGGUGAGUAACACGUAAGUAAUCUACCUUCGAGUGGGGAAUAACAUCGGGAAACCGAUGCUAAUACCGCAUAAUGCAGCGGCAUCGCAAGAUGACAGUUGUUAAAGGAGCAAUUCGCUUGAAGAGGAGCUUGCGGCAGAUUAGCUAGUUGGUAAGGUAAUGGCUUACCAAGGCUACGAUCUGUAACCGGUCUAAGAGGACGGUCGGGUCACACUGACACUGAAUAACGGGUCAGACUCCUACGGGAGGCAGCAGUCGGGAAUUUUGGGUCAAUGGGCGAAAGCCUGACCCAGCAACGCCGCGUGAAGGAUGAAGUAUUUCGGUAUGUAAACUU
This 412-nucleotide ribosomal RNA is filed under the name uncultured bacterium. RNAcentral describes it as "bacterial SSU rRNA". It matches the Rfam family "Bacterial small subunit ribosomal RNA", at positions 32 to 432 of the family's 1533-position model. The record is from RNAcentral.